Molecule: ribosomal RNA, 1273 nt
Filed under: Clostridium perfringens
Lineage: Bacteria; Bacillati; Bacillota; Clostridia; Eubacteriales; Clostridiaceae
Description: bacterial LSU rRNA
Rfam family: Bacterial large subunit ribosomal RNA
Source: RNAcentral
CCCGUACCGCAAACCGACACAGGUAGGUGAGGAGAGAAUCCUAAGGCCGGCGGAAGAAUUACAGUUAAGGAACUCGGCAAAUUGACCCCGUAAGUUCGCGAGAAGGGGUGCCUACGAGAGUAGGCCGCAGAGAAUAGGCCCAAGCAACUGUUUAGCAAAAACACAGGUCUCUGCUAAAGCGUAAGCUGAUGUAUAGGGGCUGACGCCUGCCCGGUGCUGGAAGGUUAAGGGGAACACUUAGCGCAAGCGAAGGUGUGAACUUAAGCCCCAGUAAACGGCGGCCGUAACUAUAACGGUCCUAAGGUAGCGAAAUUCCUUGUCAGGUAAGUUCUGACCCGCACGAAUGGCGUAAUGACUUGGGCACUGUCUCAACUGUAAAUCCGGCGAAGUUGUAGUGCGAGUGAAGAUGCUCGCUACCCGCGAUUGGACGGAAAGACCCCGUAGAGCUUUACUGUAGCUUAGCAUUGAGUUUUGGUAUUGUCUGUACAGGAUAGGUGGGAGACUAGGAAACCAGGGCGUCAGCCUUGGUGGAGUCAACCUUGGGAUACCACCCUGACAGUACUGAAAUUCUAACUGGCGGCCAUGAAUCUGGUCACAGGACAUUGUUAGGUGGGCAGUUUGACUGGGGCGGUCGCCUCCUAAAAAGUAACGGAGGCGCCCAAAGGUUCCCUCAGAACGGUCGGAAAUCGUUCGAAGAGUGCAAAGGCAGAAGGGAGCCUGACUGCGACACCCACAAGUGGAGCAGGGACGAAAGUCGGGCUUAGUGAUCCGGUGGUACCUCGUGGGAGGGCCAUCGCUCAACGGAUAAAAGCUACCUCGGGGAUAACAGGCUGAUCUCCCCCAAGAGUCCACAUCGACGGGGAGGUUUGGCACCUCGAUGUCGGCUCGUCGCAUCCUGGGGCUGAAGUAGGUCCCAAGGGUUGGGCUGUUCGCCCAUUAAAGCGGCACGCGAGCUGGGUUCAGAACGUCGUGAGACAGUUCGGUCCCUAUCCGUCGCGGGCGUAGGAAAUUUGAGAGGAGCUGUCCUUAGUACGAGAGGACCGGGAUGGACUGACCUCUGGUGUACCAGUUGUUCCGCCAGGAGCACAGCUGGGUAGCUAAGUCGGGAAUGGAUAAACGCUGAAAGCAUCUAAGCGUGAAGCCAACCUCAAGAUGAGAUUUCCCAUAGCGUAAGCUAGUAAGAUCCCUUGAAGAACACAAGGUUGAUAGGUCGGGGGUGUAAGCAUGGUAACAUGUUCAGCUGACCGAUACUAAUAGAUCGAGGGCUUGACCA